UACGUAGGGUGCAAGCGUUGUCCGGAAUUAUUGGGCGUAAAGGGCUCGUAGGCGGUUUGUCGCGUCGGGAGUGAAAACUCAGGGCUUAACCCUGAGCCUGCUUCCGAUACGGGCAGACUAGAGGUAUGCAGGGGAGAAUGGAAUUCCUGGUGUAGCGGUGAAAUGCGCAGAUAUCAGGAGGAACACCGGUGGCGAAGGCGGCUUCCUGGACACUUACUGACGCUGAGACGCGAAAGCGUGGGGAGCAAACAGG
RNAcentral lists this ribosomal RNA (253 nucleotides) under uncultured bacterium. RNAcentral's name for it is "partial 16S ribosomal RNA". It matches the Rfam family "Bacterial small subunit ribosomal RNA", at positions 524 to 776 of the family's 1533-position model. The record is from RNAcentral.